AGUGAACGCUGGCGGUAGGCCUAACACAUGCAAGUCGAACGGCAGCACAGUAAGAGCUUGCUCUUACGGGUGGCGAGUGGCGGACGGGUGAGGAAUACAUCGGAAUCUACUUUUUCGUGGGGGAUAACGUAGGGAAACUUACGCUAAUACCGCAUACGACCUACGGGCGAAAGCAGGGGAUCUUCGGACCUUGCGCGAUUGAAUGAGCCGAUGUCGGAUUAGCUAGUUGGCGGGGUAAAGGCCCACCAAGGCGACGAUCCGUAGCUGGUCUGAGAGGAUGAUAAGCCGCACUGGAACUGAGACACGGUCCAGACUCCUACGGGAGGCAGCAGUGGGGAAUAUUGGACAAUGGGCGCAAGCCUGAUCCAGCCAUACCGCGUGGGUGAAGAAGGCCUUCGGGUUGUAAAGCCCUUUUGUUGGGAAAGAAAAGCAGCAGGUUAAUACCCCGCUGUUCUGACGGUACCCAAAGAAUAAGCACCGGCUAACUUCGUG
Molecule: ribosomal RNA, 492 nt
Filed under: uncultured bacterium
Lineage: Bacteria
Description: partial 16S ribosomal RNA
Rfam family: Bacterial small subunit ribosomal RNA
Source: RNAcentral